CGGACGGGUGAGUAAUGUCUGGGAAACUGCCCGAUGGAGGGGGAUAACUACUGGAGACGGUAGCUAAUACCGCAUAACGUCGCAAGACCAAGGAGGGGGACCUUCGGGCCUCUUGCCAUCGGAUGUGCCCAGAUGGGAUUAGCUAGUAGGUGGGGUAAAGGCUCACCUAGGCGACGAUCCCUAGCUGGUCUGAGAGGAUGACCAGCCACAUUGGAACUGAGACACGGUCCAA
RNAcentral lists this ribosomal RNA (232 nucleotides) under uncultured bacterium. RNAcentral describes it as "partial 16S ribosomal RNA". It matches the Rfam family "Bacterial small subunit ribosomal RNA", at positions 99 to 334 of the family's 1533-position model. The record is from RNAcentral.